AGCCCUGAAGAAAAUUUGAUGAAGAAAUGCUGUAAUUUUAUAAAACUGAAUUCUAAUCGACGAGACGAGUAAACGUGUGACAGAUAUCGUAGAAUAGAAAAAAAAGUGUGUAAUAGGCAAAAAAAGAAAUGUUUAAUAUAAAUUUUACUUAGAAUUCAUACACGCAAAGGAAGCUGUCGGAACAGAUUUAAUUCCCGUUCAUUAGAUUCGUCGCCUUACUGAAUACGAUAUUCUCGAGUUCGCGGUUCAAGGGAAAGCAAAGAAUUCUGGUGGGGUCGAGAGCAACGUUCAAGAUGAAAUCCUCGGCCCUUGUUAAAUCGUCUCGGUCGGGGUCGAACAAUGCGUUCGCCAGCAUCCUCGUUUCUCGGUGAUUGCACAUAAAGCUGCCAUUAUUAGAACUUCAGUGAGCGGUAAGCGCUGGUGCUUUUUCCAGUCUCGCGUUCGCGCUUACUCUUGCGCACAAUUCGCCGCUGCAAUCGCGUGCGUUUCCAGCCGCGUUCAUCCGUCCAUGUGGCUGCCAGUCGUAGCACGAAGCUCGUUCGUCGCGUUUACUCCACUUUUUUCAUCGAAAAAUUUUAUCCGGAAUAUCACGUUCGACUCGACGACCGAUUAAUUAUCGUAUUUUACUUUCACCGAUGGUGCAUCAUUUUCAUGGGAAACGUUUAAAUUUCCACGUGGUGCCACGUGAUGGAAAAAUUGGCCACCGGUUGCUGCACGACGCUCCUUCGUCGCGUUUAUUCCACCUCUUCGGCGAAACGUUCCAUCCGGAACGUCGCGAUCGACACGAGAUCGAAAUUAAUUAUAUUCUACUUUCUCCAAUGGUGGAUCGUUCUUGCGCGAAAGAAAAAUUUUAAAUUCCUACGGCACGUGGUGAAUAAAUUGGCCACCAGUUGCUGCACGACGCUCCUUCGUCGCGUCUACUCCACUUUUUCGUCGAAACCUUCUGUCCGGGGGUAUCGCGAUCGACCCGAGAUCCGUUCGAUCGUCUUAUCCUUCCGUCCUUUUCGCGAAAGUCGUUCGAAUUUCUGUGACGCGCGCGUGGAAAAUACUGGCGCGAAUCUUCGAGUUAGUGAGAAUCUUUGGCUCGAAUUUGAUGAUUCGUUCGCGUGGGAAUCGCACGGCGAGCCGUGCGAUUGUCGCGAUCGCUCUUAUCGCUCGCUCCACUUACGUUCCGCUUCGUUCUAUCGACUACUAGUUUGCUGCAUUCCCGGUUACUUCACUGGUGGUGAAUCGUUAAUCGACGCGAGUUACCGCCGACGAGUUUGUUACGAUACGCAAGUACAGUGGAAAAAGGAGUUUAGCGAAACAGUUUCGUAAAGCUAAACGAUUGGACGAAUCGAAAGGAAUUGGAAGUCGUUCUAAGAAUUCUGUUCGAAGACAGCUUUGAGAAGGCGAACGGCGAUUGAAAAAAGAAGAAA
Molecule: long non-coding RNA, 1418 nt
Organism: Bombus terrestris (buff-tailed bumblebee)
Lineage: Eukaryota; Metazoa; Arthropoda; Insecta; Hymenoptera; Apidae
Exons: 2
Source: RefSeq, a predicted model, not a curated record